Long non-coding RNA from Symphalangus syndactylus (siamang), 760 nucleotides. RefSeq lists it as uncharacterized. The record is from RefSeq and is a predicted model, not a curated record. Lineage: Eukaryota; Metazoa; Chordata; Mammalia; Primates; Hylobatidae.
GAAGAGGCCAGAGGGGUUCAGAGCCAGUUUCACCUGGGCAUCAUGACAGUCUUAUAAAGACAGUGAUCAGUACUCCCAUCUCACAGAGAAGAAAUGGCCGAGACUCAGAGAGGGCUCCACUUCUUCAUCCUAUCAUCGGGGAUUAGGUUUUAACCUAUGAAUCUCGAAGAGGACACAAGCAUUCAAACCAUUGCACCCUUAAUAAAGCAAAUCUGGAUCAGAAGCUGUAUCAUAAGAAAGAACCUGUAUCGACCCCCAGGGUGAAUUUGUGCUCUAGUGAAGAAGGUUUACCGACUGUGCCAUGCCUGAUCAGUUUCAAAUGUUGGCCCCACCAUCUGCUAGCUGAGCAAUCUUGAACAAGGAGAUUUUGCUUCUCUGAAUCUCAGCCUCCUCAUCUGUCAAACGGGAAUGAGAACACUACCACCUCCCCCAAAGGACCGUCUGGAAAACCUAAGAUGCACAUCUACUUGGACGCAGUAUGUAAGUGGUGAAGCAUUUAUAAAUGUGAGGUGUCCAUUUUUUAUAAUGGGGACAGCCAGCACUCGUGCAUGAAUGAGUGACCGAGAAACUUACUGACACUUCCUUGGGGGCUGCUCCAAGCUGCAUGCCUGGAGGCAGACCCCCUGGUGACAGACUUGCUGGGCAUCCGGCUGCUGAGUUGCUGCAUCAUCCUGCCCGCUGCCUCACCCCACCCCACGGAGAGUUACCCUUUCCACCCAGCGUUCAGGAGGAGCCCACUCAGCACUUCGCUGGGCUGUGU